Delphinapterus leucas (beluga whale) is the source of this 1386-nucleotide non-coding RNA. The record is from RefSeq and is a predicted model, not a curated record. NCBI's taxonomy places the organism in Eukaryota, Metazoa, Chordata, Mammalia, Artiodactyla, Monodontidae.
CAUUGGCAGGUGGAUUCUUAACCACUGCGCCCCCAGGGAAGUCCCAGCAUUCAUUAUUAAUUCACAAAAUGAAAAAAAAAAAAGUUUAGGAAUCAUAAGUAAUUUACUUGUAAUUGGAAGUCACUUUUCUACCAUAGGAAAGCAUUUUAAAAUUUGUCGCCCUGAACUAUAAUUUUAAUGAAAGUGAAUAAAACCUUUCCGCAAACCACAGAAAAUGAAUUUUCAUAAUUAUGUUUAUAAGUAAAAUAGUCAGUUGUAUUCAAGUUUAUACUUUUUUACUCCAUCUCAAGUUGGAGGGUAUUUUCUGAAAUGAGCAGUCAUAUGAAAUGCUAUAAAUGUUUUGGGCUUAUUUAUUUAUUUUAAAUAUUUAUUUUUUUGUCUGCAUUGGGUCUUAGUCGCAGUAGGCGGGAUUUUCGUUGCGGCCCGCUGGCUCUUUGUUGUGGCAUGCGGUCUUCUCUCUAGUUGUGGCGUGUGGGUUUACUCUCUCUAGUUGUGGCGCAGGGGUUCCAGGCCGCGUGGGCUCUGUAGUUUGCUGCAAGCGGGCUCUCUCUUGAGGCGUGCGAUCUCAGUAGUUGUGGCGCAUGGGCUUAGUUGCACCGCGGCAUGUGGGAUUGUUUUGGGCUAAUUUAAUCAGAACCUUAAGAAUUUUCAGGUCCAACGCAAACUUAAUUAAGCUUUUAUUGCUUUUCUUUUUCAAUCAGUUAAAAUAGGAGUUCAAUUGCUUUCGGGAUAUCACAGCCUUUUCAUAUUUCAAAAUUAUUUAGCAACACUCAAAAACAGAUCUAAAAAACAUUUCCUUGCAGUGUAAAAUGCACACCUGAGAACUGUGGCGCCUCACACCUGUGGAUAUGCUGAGACCAGUCCUGUUCGGCGGCUGGGGCCUCAGGGUCCGACUUCACAUGGGGGAACAUUUCCACGGUGACCUCGGCCCUUGCCGUGUCCCACCUUUUCUCAUCUUCACUCCGGAUAUGGAGCGAUCCGCGGGGAAACUGAGUCUGGACUUCCAGGUGCAGGAGGAGGACACAGGCGAGCCGCCCAGGUUGCAAGGCCGCAGUGAGGACGCUUCAGAGAACCCGGAAGCAGUCGGAGAUGGAGUGUAAGCUCAGGAGUCCUAGGAAUUGAGUCUGGUUCCCAACUGCCAGCCUCGCCAUCCUCCCACACACGGGGGUGAAGAGGGAGCCUUGCUGACAUGGAACCUGUGGCUGUUUCAGGACUCGGUGGGCUUUGAGGAUGUGGCUGUGAACUUCACUGUGGAGGAGUGGGCUUUGCUGGGCCCGGCUCAGAGGAACCUCUGCAGAGACGUGAUGCUGGAGACCUUCAGGAACCUGGCUUCUGUGGUAUGCGGGCCUCUCACUGUUGUGGUUUCUCCCGUUGUGGAGCACAGGC